This 498-nucleotide ribosomal RNA is filed under the name uncultured bacterium. RNAcentral's name for it is "bacterial SSU rRNA". It matches the Rfam family "Bacterial small subunit ribosomal RNA", at positions 28 to 517 of the family's 1533-position model. The record is from RNAcentral.
GAUGAACGCUAGCGGCAGGCCUAACACAUGCAAGUCGAGGGGCAGCACAAAUGAAGCUUGCUUUAUUGGUGGCGACCGGCGCACGGGUGCGUAACGCGUAUGCAACCUACCCUGUACUGGGGGAUAGCCCGGAGAAAUUCGGAUUAAUACCCCAUAGUAUUUAGUUAUCGCAUGAUAGAUAAAUUAAAGGUUACGGUACAGGAUGGGCAUGCGUCCUAUUAGCUAGAUGGUAAGGUAACGGCUUACCAUGGCAACGAUAGGUAGGGGGCCUGAGAGGGUGGUCCCCCACACUGGUACUGAGACACGGACCAGACUCCUACGGGAGGCAGCAGUGAGGAAUAUUGGUCAAUGGGGCGCAAGCCUGAACCAGCCAUGCCGCGUGCAGGAAGAAUGCCCUAUGGGUUGUAAACUGCUUUUAUUUGGGAAUAAACCUCUUUUACGUGUAGAGAGCUGAAGGUACCAAUGAAUAAGCACCGGCUAACUCCGUGCCAGCAGCCG